RNAcentral lists this ribosomal RNA (520 nucleotides) under uncultured Glomus. RNAcentral's name for it is "SSU rRNA". It matches the Rfam family "Eukaryotic small subunit ribosomal RNA", at positions 569 to 1090 of the family's 1831-position model. The record is from RNAcentral. Lineage: Eukaryota; Fungi; Glomeromycota; Glomeromycetes; Glomerales; Glomeraceae.
AGCAGCCGCGGUAAUUCCAGCUCCAAUAGCGUAUAUUAAAGUUGUUGCAGUUAAAAAGCUCGUAGUUGAAUUUCGGGAUCAAUGCGUCGGUCGUGCUUUCGGGUACGUACUGGUGUCAUUGGUUUCUCCUUUCUGACGAGCCGUGAUGUCAUUAAUUUGGUGUUACGGGUAGUUAGGACUGUUACUUUGAAAAAAUUAGAGUGUUUAAAGCAGGCAUUCGCUUGAAUACAUUAGCAUGGAAUAAUGAAAUAGGACGUUCGACCCUAUUUUGUUGGUUUCUAGGAUCAACGUAAUGAUUAGUAGGGAUAGUUGGGGGCAUUAGUAUUCAAUUGUCAGAGGUGAAAUUCUUGGAUUUAUUGAAGACUGACUACUGCGAAAGCAUUUGCCAAGGAUGUUUUCAUUAAUCAAGAACGAAAGUUAGGGAUCGAAGACGAUCAGAUACCGUCGUAGUCUUAACCAUAAACUAUGCCGACUAGGGAUCGGAUGAUGUUAAUUUUUAAUGUACUCAUUCGGCGUCCGU